AAUUCUCAACCUCACCAACUUUUGUUGUGUGAAGGCUUGGAUGUGGGGGUUGCAGGUCCGCCUCGUGUGGUCUGCUCCUCUGAAAUGCAUUAGUGGGUUGUGCCCCUAAUCUAUUGGUGUGAUAAUUAUCUACGCCGUGGAUUGGGUCUGGCUACUGAAGACCUGCUUCUAACCGUCCCUCAGCUGGACAACUUUGACGA
Molecule: unclassified non-coding RNA, 200 nt
Filed under: Coprinopsis annulopora
Lineage: Eukaryota; Fungi; Basidiomycota; Agaricomycetes; Agaricales; Psathyrellaceae
Description: partial internal transcribed spacer 2
Source: RNAcentral